Molecule: ribosomal RNA, 729 nt
Filed under: Naucoris sigaloeis
Lineage: Eukaryota; Metazoa; Arthropoda; Insecta; Hemiptera; Naucoridae
Description: SSU rRNA
Rfam family: Eukaryotic small subunit ribosomal RNA
Source: RNAcentral
AAGGCAGCAGGCACGCAAAUUACCCACUCCCGGCACGGGGAGGUAGUGACAAAAAAUAACGAUACGGGACUCAUCCGAGGCCCCGUAAUCGGAAUGAGAACACUUUAAAUCCUUUAACAAGGAUCCAAUGGAGGGCAAGUCUGGUGCCAGCAGCCGCGGUAAUUCCAGCUCCAUUAGCGUAUAUUAAAGUUGUUGCGGUUAAAAAGCUCGUAGUUGGUUCUGCGUCCCAUGCUGUCGGUUCACCGCCUGACGGUGCAACUGACAUGUCGUGGGAUGUCCUGUCGGUGGCGGCCUUGACCCACUGCGUGUGGAGGUUUCCGAAGCACGCUGCUGCGCGUCAGGCCGCCGAUUCAAUCCUGCCGCGGUGCUCUUGAUUGAGUGUCGAGGUAGGCCGACACGUUUACUUUGAACAAAUUAGAGUGCUCAAAGCAGGCUAAUAAUGCCUGGAUAUUGGUGCAUGGAAUAAUGGAAUAGGACCUCGGUUCUAUUUUGUUGGUUUUCGGAACCCGAGGUAAUGAUCAAUAUGGACAGGCGGGGGCAUUCGUAUUGCGGCGUUAGAGGUGAAAUUCUUGGAUCGUCGCAAGACGCACUAGAGCGAAAGCAUUUGCCAAGUAUGUCUUAGUUGAUCAAGAACGAAAGUUAGAGGUUCGAAGGCGAUCAGAUACCGCCCUAGUUCUAACCAUAAACGAUGCCAGCCAGCGAUCCGCCGAUGUUCCUCCGAUGACUCGG